RNAcentral lists this non-coding RNA (189 nucleotides) under Flavisolibacter tropicus. Lineage: Bacteria; Pseudomonadati; Bacteroidota; Chitinophagia; Chitinophagales; Chitinophagaceae. The record is from RNAcentral.
UCUUUUGUAGGGCAUAUCGGUUUCUACGCUUAACGCAAAGAAUGAAAAGGGAAUCAGGUGUAAAUCCUGAGCUAUCCCCGUAGCUGUAAGCUCCUUUACUUGUUUAAUCUCCAUGCCACUGUUGAAAAAAACGGGAAGGCCUUAAACAAGGGAGUAAGUCAGAAGACCUGCCGGUAUCAAGUAUUAAGU